This 87-nucleotide transfer RNA is filed under the name Neptuniibacter sp. Phe_28. RNAcentral describes it as "tRNA-Leu". It matches the Rfam family "tRNA". Rfam says of the family: Transfer RNA (tRNA) molecules are approximately 80 nucleotides in length. Their secondary structure includes four short double-helical elements and three loops (D, anti-codon, and T loops). Lineage: Bacteria; Pseudomonadati; Pseudomonadota; Gammaproteobacteria; Oceanospirillales; Oceanospirillaceae. RNAcentral also lists the same sequence under 14 other names. The record is from RNAcentral.
GCCCAAGUGGUGGAAUUGGUAGACACGCUAUCUUGAGGGGGUAGUGGCCGUCAGGCCGUGCCGGUUCAAGUCCGGCCUUGGGCACCA